This 429-nucleotide ribosomal RNA is filed under the name Chloroflexota bacterium. Its description in RNAcentral is "Chloroflexi bacterium partial 16S ribosomal RNA". It matches the Rfam family "Bacterial small subunit ribosomal RNA", at positions 355 to 776 of the family's 1533-position model. Lineage: Bacteria; Bacillati; Chloroflexota. The record is from RNAcentral.
UGGGGAAUAUUGCACAAUGGGCGCAAGCCUGAUGCAGCCAUGCCGCGUGUGUGAAGAAGGCCUUCGGGUUGUAAAGCACUUUCAGCGGGGAGGAAGGCGAUAAGGUUAAUAACCUUGUCGAUUGACGUCACCCGCAGAAGAAGCACCGGCUAACUCCGUGCCAGCAGCCGCGGUAAUACGGAGGGUGCAAGCGUUAAUCGGAAUUACUGGGCGUAAAGCGCACGCAGGCGGUCUGUCAAGUCGGAUGUGAAAUCCCCGGGCUCAACCUGGGAACUGCAUUCGAAACUGGCAGGCUAGAGUCUUGUAGAGGGGGGUAGAAUUCCAGGUGUAGCGGUGAAAUGCGUAGAGAUCUGGAGGAAUACCGGUGGCGAAGGCGGCCCCCUGGACAAAGACUGACGCUCAGGUGCGAAAGCGUGGGGAGCAAACAGG